CGGGUGAGUAAUGCUUGGGAAUAUGCCUUAUGGUGGGGGACAACAGUUGGAAACGACUGCUAAUACCGCAUAACGUCUACGGACCAAAGGGGGGGGAUCUUCGGACCUCUCGCCAUUUGAUUAGCCCAAGUGAGAUUAGCUAGUUGGUGAGGUAAUGGCUCACCAAGGCGACGAUCUCUAGCUGGUUUGAGAGGAUGAUCAGCCACACUGGGACUGAGACACGGCCCAG
This 229-nucleotide ribosomal RNA is filed under the name uncultured bacterium. RNAcentral's name for it is "partial 16S ribosomal RNA". It matches the Rfam family "Bacterial small subunit ribosomal RNA", at positions 103 to 334 of the family's 1533-position model. The record is from RNAcentral.